AUCGCCUCUUCACACGAGUCGGGUUUUUUCUUUCUUUUAUUUUUAUCCUUCGAUCCUAUCCGAUUUAUUUCCAAUCGUUGUUACAUUCUCUCCUUACUCGACGUCUCUUAACGUUUGCGUGAAACGAAUUUCAAUCCCGUAAUAAUACGU
Neodiprion fabricii is the source of this 150-nucleotide long non-coding RNA. RefSeq lists it as uncharacterized. The transcript is spliced from 3 exons. The record is from RefSeq and is a predicted model, not a curated record. NCBI's taxonomy places the organism in Eukaryota, Metazoa, Arthropoda, Insecta, Hymenoptera, Diprionidae.